This 255-nucleotide ribosomal RNA is filed under the name uncultured bacterium. RNAcentral's name for it is "partial 16S ribosomal RNA". It matches the Rfam family "Bacterial small subunit ribosomal RNA", at positions 524 to 776 of the family's 1533-position model. The record is from RNAcentral.
UACGUAGGGGGCAAGCGUUGUCCGGAAUCAUUGGGCGUAAAGCGCGUGUAGGCGGCUCGGGUAGUCUGGUGUGAAAUCUUUCGGCUCAACCGGAAGCGGUCACUGGAUACUCUCGGGCUUGAGUCCGGAAGAGGAGAGUGGAAUUCCUGGUGUAGCGGUGAAAUGCGCAGAUAUCAGGAGGAACACCAAUGGCGAAGGCAGCUCUCUGGUACGUGACUGACGCUGAGACGCGAAAAGCGUGGGGGAGCGAACAGG